This 255-nucleotide ribosomal RNA is filed under the name uncultured bacterium. RNAcentral's name for it is "partial 16S ribosomal RNA". It matches the Rfam family "Bacterial small subunit ribosomal RNA", at positions 1245 to 1500 of the family's 1533-position model. The record is from RNAcentral.
AGAGGCAAAGCCGCGAGGUGGAGCAAAUCUCAAAAAGCCGUCCCAGUUCGGAUUGCAGGCUGCAACCCGCCUGCAUGAAGUUGGAAUCGCUAGUAAUCGCGGAUCAGCAUGCCGCGGUGAAUACGUUCCCGGGCCUUGUACACACCGCCCGUCACACCAUGAGAGUCGGGAACACCCGAAGUCCGUAGCCUAACCGCAAGGGGGGCGCGGCCGAAGGUGGGUUCGAUAAUUGGGGUGAAGUCGUAACAAGGUAUC